GCGAACGGGGUCGAGGUCGUAUCGACCGUUC
Molecule: small RNA, 31 nt
Filed under: Bombyx mori (domestic silkworm)
Lineage: Eukaryota; Metazoa; Arthropoda; Insecta; Lepidoptera; Bombycidae
Description: ovarian small RNA-16762
Source: RNAcentral